GACAGAGGGUGCAAACGUUGUUCGGAAUUACUGGGCGUAAAGCGUGUGUAGGCUGUUUAGCAAGUCGGAUGUGAAAUCCCCGGGCUCAACCUGGGACGUGCACUCGAAACUGCUGAGCUUGAGUAUCGGAGAGGUUGGUGGAAUUCUCGGUGGAGAGGUGAAAUUCGUAGAUAUCGAGGGGAACAUCAGUGGCGAAGGCGGCCAACUGGACGAUUACUGACGCUGAGACACGAAAGCGUGGGGAGCAAACAGG
RNAcentral lists this ribosomal RNA (253 nucleotides) under uncultured bacterium. RNAcentral describes it as "partial 16S ribosomal RNA". It matches the Rfam family "Bacterial small subunit ribosomal RNA", at positions 524 to 776 of the family's 1533-position model. The record is from RNAcentral.